RNAcentral lists this ribosomal RNA (421 nucleotides) under uncultured bacterium. Its description in RNAcentral is "bacterial SSU rRNA". It matches the Rfam family "Bacterial small subunit ribosomal RNA", at positions 355 to 774 of the family's 1533-position model. The record is from RNAcentral.
UGAGGAAUAUUGGGCAAUGCCCGCAAGGGUGACCCAGCAACGCCGCGUGGAGGAUGAAUGUCGUAAGAUUGUAAACUCCUGUUAGAGGGGAAGAAUAGUACCGGUUGGACCGGUAUAUGACUGUACCCUCAGAGAAAGCCCCGGCUAACUACGUGCCAGCAGCCGCGGUAAUACGUAGGGGGCAAGCGUUGUCCGGAUUUACUGGGUGUAAAGGGCGCGCAGGCGGGAUAAAAAGUCAGUGGUGAAAUCCUACAGCUUAACUGUAGAACUGCCUUGAUACUUUUAUUCUUGAGUUCGGGAGAGAGAGACGGAAUUCCAGGUGUAGUGGUGAAAUACGUAGAUAUCUGGAAGAACACCAGUUGCGAAGGCGGUCUCUUGGUCCGACACUGACGCUGAGGCGCGAAAGCGUGGGGAGCAAACA